RNAcentral lists this unclassified non-coding RNA (203 nucleotides) under Bombus terrestris (buff-tailed bumblebee). Its description in RNAcentral is "misc RNA ENSBTSG00005020674.1". Lineage: Eukaryota; Metazoa; Arthropoda; Insecta; Hymenoptera; Apidae. The record is from RNAcentral.
CUAUAGCCUAACCCAGAACCAAUCCCUCUUGCGUUCGUUAUUCGAAAAGGAGGCGACUUAUUUCAAAUUUGCUAACGUGUCGGAUAGGUUGUGAGGUUGGACUAGAUUUUACGAGCGAGCGGAGCGAGCGAGCAACGAUUACAAUUUCCAAGCUAUACAUAUACCUUAUAUUGCCUUGCAUAUAUUUCCUGUUAUUGCCUAAU